Molecule: ribosomal RNA, 434 nt
Filed under: uncultured Clostridium sp.
Lineage: Bacteria; Bacillati; Bacillota; Clostridia; Eubacteriales; Clostridiaceae
Description: partial 16S ribosomal RNA
Rfam family: Bacterial small subunit ribosomal RNA
Source: RNAcentral
ACGGAAGGCAGCAGUGGGGAAUAUUGGACAAUGGGGGAAACCCUGAUCCAGCGACGCCGCGUGAGUGAAGAAGUAUUUCGGUAUGUAAAGCUCUAUCAGCAAGGAAGAAAAUGACGGUACUUGACUAAGAAACUCCGGCUAAAUACGUGCCAGCAGCCGCGGUAAUACGUAGGUGGCAAGCGUUAUCCGGAUUUACUGGGUGUAAAGGGAGUGUAGGUGGUUAUGUAAGUCAGAUGUGAAAACCCGGGGCUCAACCCCGUGACUGCAUUUGAAACUGCGUAACUAGAGUGCAGGAGAGGUAAGUGGAAUUCAUAGUGUAGCGGUGAAAUGCGUAGAUAUUAGGAGGAACACCAGUGGCGAAGGCGGCUUACUGGACUGUAACUGACACUGAGGCUCGAAAGCGUGGGGAGCAAACAGGAUUAGAUACCCUGGUA